Molecule: ribosomal RNA, 472 nt
Filed under: uncultured bacterium
Lineage: Bacteria
Description: bacterial SSU rRNA
Rfam family: Bacterial small subunit ribosomal RNA
Source: RNAcentral
GGACGAACGCUGGCGGCGUGCUUCAUACAUGCAAGUCGAACGAGAAUCUGACUUCGGUCAGAGGAAAGUGGCGGACGGGUGAGUAAAAUAGUAGAGAAUCUGCCCUAGAGAGAGGGACAACAGUUGGAAACGACUGCUAAUACCUCAUAUGCGCGUAGCUGAGAUGCUAUUCGUGAAAACUCCGGUGCUCUGGGAUGAGUCUGCAUCUGAUUAGCUAGUUGGCGGUGUAAUGGACCACCAAGGCGACGAUCAGUAGCUGGUUUGAGAGGAUGAUCAGCCACAAUGGGACUGAGACACGGCCCAUACUCCUACGGGAGGCAGCAGUAGGGAAUUUUGCGCAAUGGGGGAAACCCUGACGCCAGCAACGCCGCGUGAUUGAAUAAGCCCUUCGGGGUGUAAAGAUCUGUCAGUAGGGACGAAACUUGACGGUACCUACAGAGGAAGCAUCGGCUAACUCCGUGCCAGCCGCCGC